RNAcentral lists this non-coding RNA (25 nucleotides) under Rattus norvegicus (Norway rat). The record is from RNAcentral. Lineage: Eukaryota; Metazoa; Chordata; Mammalia; Rodentia; Muridae.
UGGUAUGGACCAAGAGUGACAGGAA